AGAGUUUGAUCCUGGCUCAGGAUGAACGCUAGCGACAGGCUUAACACAUGCAAGUCGAGGGGCAGCACAGGUAGCAAUACCGGGUGGCGACCGGCGCACGGGUGAGUAACGCGUAUGCAACUUACCUAUCAGAGGGGGAUAACCCGGCGAAAGUCGGACUAAUACCGCAUGAAGCAGGGGCCCCGCAUGGGGAUAUUUGCUAAAGAUUCAUCGCUGAUAGAUAGGCAUGCGUUCCAUUAGGCAGUUGGCGGGGUAACGGCCCACCAAACCGACGAUGGAUAGGGGUUCUGAGAGGAAGGUCCCCCACAUUGGUACUGAGACACGGACCAAACUCCUACGGGAGGCAGCAGUGAGGAAUAUUGGUCAAUGGCCGAGAGGCUGAACCAGCCAAGUCGCGUGAAGGAAGAAGGAUCUAUGGUUUGUAAACUUCUUUUAUAGGGGAAUAAAGUGGAGGACGUGUCCUUUUUUGUAUGUACCCUAUGAAUAAGCAUCGGCUAACUCCGUGCCAGCAGCCGCGGUAAUACGGAGGAUGCGAGCGUUAUCCGGAUUUAUUGGGUUUAAAGGGUGCGUAGGUGGUGAUUUAAGUCAGCGGUGAAAGUUUGUGGCUCAACCAUAAAAUUGCCGUUGAAACUGGGUUACUUGAGUGUGUUUGAGGUAGGCGGAAUGCGUGGUGUAGCGGUGAAAUGCAUAGAUAUCACGCAGAACUCCGAUUGCGAAGGCAGCUUACUAAACCAUAACUGACACUGAAGCACGAAAGCGUGGGGAUCAAACAGGAUUAGAUACCCUGGUAGUCCACGCAGUAAACGAUGAUCACUAGCUGUUUGCGAUACACUGUAAGCGGCACAGCGAAAGCGUUAAGUGAUCCACCUGGGGAGUACGCCGGCAACGGUGAAACUCAAAGGAAUUGACGGGGGCCC
This 917-nucleotide ribosomal RNA is filed under the name Agathobaculum butyriciproducens. RNAcentral describes it as "bacterial SSU rRNA". It matches the Rfam family "Bacterial small subunit ribosomal RNA", at positions 8 to 922 of the family's 1533-position model. The record is from RNAcentral. Lineage: Bacteria; Bacillati; Bacillota; Clostridia; Eubacteriales; Butyricicoccaceae.